GAUGAACGCUGGCGGCGUGCCUAAUACAUGCAAGUCGAGCGAACAGACGAGGAGCUUGCUCCUCUGACGUUAGCGGCGGACGGGUGAGUAACACGUGGAUAAACUACCUAUAAGACUGGGAUAACUUCGGGAAACAGGAGCUAAUACCGGAUAAUAUAUUGAACUGCAUGGUUCACUAGUGAAAGAAGGUUUUGCUGUCACUUAUAGAUGGAUCCGCCCCGCAUUAGCUAGUUGGUAAGGUAACGGCUUACCAAGGCAACGAUUGGUAGCCGACCCGAGCGGGUGGUCGGCCACACUGGAUCUGAGACACGUUCCAGACUCCGACGGGAAGCAGCGGUAGGGAAUCUUCCGCGAGGGACGAGAGCGGGACGGAGCAACGCCGCGUGAGUGAUGAAGGUCUUCUGAUCGGAGAACUCUGUAAUUAGGGAAGAACAAAUGUGUAAGUACCUAUGCACGUCUUGACGGUACCGGAUCAGAAAGCCACGGCUAACUACGUG
Molecule: ribosomal RNA, 497 nt
Filed under: uncultured bacterium
Lineage: Bacteria
Description: partial 16S ribosomal RNA
Rfam family: Bacterial small subunit ribosomal RNA
Source: RNAcentral